ACUGAAAAGUGCUGCGCGCGCCUGCAUGUGCGCAUGGAGGCCACGUGUGUGCGCGCCUCUGUGUGUACACCAAGGGCCAACUGAAUGCAUAUCUGUGUGCAUGCGCAGGGAAUAGAGGGCCACGUGUUUGCCUGUGUGUGUGUGUGUGUGUGUGUGUGUGUGUGUGAUACCUGCCAACGGAGAAAGAUCUGUGGUGUGUGCCAUACCUGCAGGUACACAUAGAAGAGUAACGUGGGCACACCUGUGUAUAUGCAGAUAGUAUAGCUGUAUACACGUGCAUAUGCAGAGUAUGAGUCGGGCGUGCACGCCUGAACAUGUAUACAGAAAACCCUCUGUACAUACAACUAUGUAUAUUUGUGUUUAAUGUCUGCACAGAAUACAGGUAUGUGUGUACGAAUAGAGGGGCCAGCUAUGUGCGCAUGAGGAAAAAGAGGUCAGUUGUAGGAGUGCCUUAACGUACCUGUAUGUGCACCCCCAGCAGAGGAGUUUUGUACAUUUACACAGGCCAUAGUGAAGACUGUUGGGAUGCACACACGUAUUGGACACUGCAGAGACAUAGAGAGCCUGCCACUAUUCAGCUAUUGACGUCCACAGCCACAUGGCCUGAACUUGGGUUGUCAGUGAUUCAGGGCAGGAAGCAUCCUGAAAGGGUGUUUGCUCCUGUCAUUUCAGAGUCUGUAGGCUUCAUCCCAGGAGGGGUCUGGUAGACCCUGAGGCCUGAAGACAGUCCACAUUGGAGACCUCUACCUUAGGACUAAAGCUGGAGAGCCUGGGGAGAGAAUAGGCUAGGCCUCCCAAAUCAGUCCAAAUGGUUUGGGUAAAGUGACCCAGCUUUGCCCAACAAUAUAUGGCUCAAGAGUAGAGUGCUGUUAAAUGCUAUCAGAGAACUGUGGAUGUGAGUGACGGGAUGUUUAGUGUAAGCACCCUUUACAUGGUUGUCUUUCCUUUAAAUAAGCUAAGAUGUUGAGGGACAGGCCAAUUUGACUCCCAGAUUGACACAUCCUUCUCUGUUGCCUAGCUGCCUUGGCCAUAGGACUCAGCCAAACAGCCCUUCCUUCUUUAGCAUCUGACUGGACCAUCCUGGCCGCUAUCCUGUUCUGAGCACUCCUUAGAUGCCAUGAGGAAGCUAUACUGCAAACCACAGCUGCUUAUGCUAAAGCAAAACCAUGAUUCCAGAAGGCAAUAUUCAAGGUAACAGGAAAACAAAAGAAAACCACCAUCCUGGUCUCUAAGAUGGGAAGUGGCACCUGCCUCUUGUGUAUAUUUAACAAGGGCAAGUUUCUUAACUACAUGGAGUGACUUCACAUGACAACAGCCAUUAACUCAAUUCACUGGAGGAUACAGACAGAACUCAAAGUGUUCUCGGGAAGCCAUAUUGACAGGAUGCAGAAACCAGGCUGAACAGAGGAACCAGAGAAUGCACAAAAUGUGUGGUCUGGGGGGAAGGGUCAAGAUGGAUUGAUUUCUGCUUUUAAUCUGUGAUAAACAGACCUGUUUCUUGGGUGAUGAGUAAGCAAGACACACUACAAUAAAUGGACUUCAAAGAAGACACACUCUCCAAUA
Molecule: non-coding RNA, 1563 nt
Organism: Cricetulus griseus (Chinese hamster)
Lineage: Eukaryota; Metazoa; Chordata; Mammalia; Rodentia; Cricetidae
Source: RefSeq, a predicted model, not a curated record